This 450-nucleotide ribosomal RNA is filed under the name uncultured bacterium. RNAcentral describes it as "partial 16S ribosomal RNA". It matches the Rfam family "Bacterial small subunit ribosomal RNA", at positions 29 to 523 of the family's 1533-position model. The record is from RNAcentral.
AACGAACGCUGGCGGCAUGCCUAACACAUGCAAGUCGAACGAGAUCUUCGGGUCUAGUGGCGCACGGGUGCGUAACGCGUGGGAAUCUGCCCUUUGGUUCGGAAUAACAGUUGGAAACGACUGCUAAUACCGGAUGAUGACGAAAGUCCAAAGAUUUAUCGCCAGAGGAUGAGCCCGCGUAGGAUCAGCUAGUUGGGGUGGUAAAGGCGCACCAAGGCGACGAUCCUUAGCUGGUCUGAGAGGAUGAUCAGCCACACUGGGACGUGAGACACGGCCCAGACUCCUACGGGAGGCAGCAGUGGGGAAUAUUGGACAAUGGGCGAAAGCCUGAUCCAGCAAUGCCGCGUGAGUGAUGAAGGCCUUAGGGUUGUAAAGCUCUUUUACCCGGGAUGAUAAUGACAGUACCGGGAGAAUAAGCUCCGGCUAACUCCGUGCCAGCCGCCGCCGUAA